This 644-nucleotide long non-coding RNA is filed under the name Hordeum vulgare. Its description in RNAcentral is "long non-coding RNA (HVUL_LNC013471)". The record is from RNAcentral. Lineage: Eukaryota; Viridiplantae; Streptophyta; Magnoliopsida; Poales; Poaceae.
UUAAAUUUCCUCGGGUUAAUUACUCCCUAUGCAGUUCAUAGUUAUUAGGCAAAUGUAGUACCAAAGUUGGGCCCUGCCAGACCAGCUUUAAUCUAAAACGAAUUAUCAAGGGGGUCCCCAUAACAACCCCGAUCGUGUUAGGAGCGCACGUUUAUGGAACAUAACACCGGUAGCCGAAACUAAGGGGGCAAAGGUGGAACAAAACACCAGGCUAGAAAGGCCGAGCCUUCCACCUUUUACCAAGUAUAUAGGUGCAUUUAAAUAAAUAGCAUUACAUAGGGUGAUAUGACAAGGAACCCAUGUUAGCACAUGGAAGCAUCUGCACCUGCAACUAGCAACGCUAACAACAGGGUUAAGCAAGCAGUAACAUAGCCAAACAGUGGUUUGCUAGGUCGAACAGGUUGAGGGUUAUCAUGGCAUUGUUGAGAGGCUGAUAUUUAACAGGUGGUAGGCAACGAGACCUAAACGGUAGCAACGAAAUAACUAGCAUGGCAAUGAUAGUAAUGGUAUCUGGGAAAAUGAUCAUCUUGCCUGAGAUCCCGCUAGGAAGAAGAAUGACUCCGCGAAGCAGACGAACCGACGUAGUCGAACGGUUCCUCACAUCCAACACGCUUGCGGAACUCUAUCGAGACGGAGGAAACCGG